GGAAGGCAUUCGUAUCCGGUGGUAGGGCUGGACUUCAAAUCCAGUUGGGGGUGUCAGACACUCCCGGGUCAGUUCGACUCUGGCUGCCUUCCGCCA
RNAcentral lists this transfer RNA (96 nucleotides) under Burkholderia multivorans. Its description in RNAcentral is "tRNA-Sec". It matches the Rfam family "Selenocysteine transfer RNA". The record is from RNAcentral. Lineage: Bacteria; Pseudomonadati; Pseudomonadota; Betaproteobacteria; Burkholderiales; Burkholderiaceae.